This 645-nucleotide ribosomal RNA is filed under the name Enterobacter asburiae. RNAcentral describes it as "partial 23S ribosomal RNA". It matches the Rfam family "Bacterial large subunit ribosomal RNA", at positions 609 to 1253 of the family's 2925-position model. Lineage: Bacteria; Pseudomonadati; Pseudomonadota; Gammaproteobacteria; Enterobacterales; Enterobacteriaceae. The record is from RNAcentral.
UGUAUAAUGGGUCAGCGACUUAUAUUCUGUAGCAAGGUUAACCGUAUAGGGGAGCCGAAGGGAAACCGAGUCUUAACUGGGCGUUAAGUUGCAGGGUAUAGACCCGAAACCCGGUGAUCUAGCCAUGGGCAGGUUGAAGGUUGGGUAACACUAACUGGAGGACCGAACCGACUAAUGUUGAAAAAUUAGCGGAUGACUUGUGGCUGGGGGUGAAAGGCCAAUCAAACCGGGAGAUAGCUGGUUCUCCCCGAAAGCUAUUUAGGUAGCGCCUCGUGAACUCAUCUUCGGGGGUAGAGCACUGUUUCGGCUAGGGGGCCAUCCCGGCUUACCAACCCGAUGCAAACUACGAAUACCGAAGAAUGUUAUCACGGGAGACACACGGCGGGUGCUAACGUCCGUCGUGAAGAGGGAAACAACCCAGACCGCCAGCUAAGGUCCCAAAGUCAUGGUUAAGUGGGAAACGAUGUGGGAAGGCACAGACAGCCAGGAUGUUGGCUUAGAAGCAGCCAUCAUUUAAAGAAAGCGUAAUAGCUCACUGGUCGAGUCGGCCUGCGCGGAAGAUGUAACGGGGCUAAACCAUGCACCGAAGCUGCGGCAGCGACGCUUAGGCGUUGUUGGGUAGGGGAGCGUUCUGUAAGCCGUUGA